Molecule: ribosomal RNA, 600 nt
Filed under: uncultured bacterium
Lineage: Bacteria
Description: bacterial SSU rRNA
Rfam family: Bacterial small subunit ribosomal RNA
Source: RNAcentral
AACGAACCUGGCGGCAGGCCUAACACAUGCAAGUCGAGCGGCCGUAGCAAUACGGCAGCGGCAGACGGGAGAGUAACACGUGGGAACGUACCCUUCGGUUCGGAAUAACUCAGGGAAACUUGAGCUAAUACCGGAUACGUCCGUAAGGAGAAAGAUUUAUCGCCGAGGGAUCGGCCCGCGUCCGAUUAGCUAGUUGGUGGGGUAAUGGCCCACCAAGGCGACGAUCGGUAGCUGGUCUGAGAGGAUGAUCAGCCUCACUGGGACUGAGACACGGCCCAGACUCCUACGGGAGGCAGCAGUGGGGAAUAUUGGACAAUGGGCGCAAGCCUGAUCCAGCCAUGCCGCGUGGGUGAUGAAGGCCCUAGGGUUGUAAAGCCCUUUCGGCGGGGAAGAUAAUGACGGUACCCGCAGAAGAAGCCCCGGCUAACUUCGUGCCAGCAGCCGCGGUAAUACGAAGGGGGCUAGCGUUGCUCGGAAUCACUGGGCGUAAAGCGCACGUAGCGGAUUGUUAAGUCAGGGGUGAAAUCCUGGAGCUCAACUCCAGAACUGCCUUUGAUACUGGCGAUCUUGAGUCCGGGAGAAGUGAGUGGAACUGCGAGU